ACCAGACUCCUACGGGAGGCAGCAGUGGGGAAUAUUGGGCAAUGGGCGCAAGCCUGACCCAGCAACGCCGCGUGAAGGAAGAAGGCUUUCGGGUUGUAAACUUCUUUUCUCAGGGACGAAGAAAGUGACGGUACCUGGGGAAUAAGCCACGGCUAACUACGUGCCAGCAGCCGCGGUAAUACGUAGGGGGCAAGCGUUAUCCGGGUUUACUGGGGGUAAAGGGGGCGCAGACGGCGAUGCAAGCCAGGAGUGAAAGCCCGGGGCCCAACCCCGGGACUGCUCUUGGAACUGGGUGGCUGGAGUGCAGGAGGGGGAGGCGGAAUUCCUGGUGUAGCGGUGAAAUGCGUAGAUAUCAGGAGGAACACCGGUGGCGAAGGCGGCCCGCUGGACUGCAACUGACGUUGAGGCCCGAAAGCGUGGGGAGCAAACAGGAUUAGAUACCCUCGUAC
RNAcentral lists this ribosomal RNA (449 nucleotides) under uncultured bacterium. RNAcentral's name for it is "partial 16S ribosomal RNA". It matches the Rfam family "Bacterial small subunit ribosomal RNA", at positions 330 to 793 of the family's 1533-position model. The record is from RNAcentral.